GGAGUCUAGCAUGUGCGCGAGUCAUUGGGACUCUACGAAACCUAAAGGCGAAAUGAAAGUGAAGGCGCGCCUUGCGCGCGCCGAGGGAGGAUGGGCCGCCUCUCGUUCGAAGCGGCCUCGCACUCCCGGGGCGUCUCAUUCUCAUCGCGAGAAGAGGCGCACCCAGAGCGUACACGCUGGGACCCGAAAGAUGGUGAACUAUGCCUGGUCAGGACGAAGUCAGGGGAAACCCUGAUGGAGGUCCGUAGCGAUUCUGACGUGCAAAUCGAUCGUCGGAACUGGGUAUAGGGGCGAAAGACCAAUCGAACGAUCUAGUAGCUGGUUCCCUCCGAAGUUUCCCUCAGGAUAGCUGGCGCUCGCCUUGCGAGUCUCAUCCGGUAAAGCGAAUGAUUAGAGGCAUUGGGGUCGAAACGGCCUCAACCUAUUCUCAAACUUUAAAUGGGUGAGAUCUCCGGCUUGCUCGAAUCGUGAAGCCGCGAGAUCGGAUCAGAGUGCCAAGUGGGCCACUUUUGGUAAGCAGAACUGGCGCUGUGGGAUGAACCAAACGCAGAGUUAAAGCGCCUAAAUCGACGCUUAUGGGAUACCAUGAAAGGCGUUGGUAACUUAAGACAUCAGGACGGUGGCCAUGGAA
This 631-nucleotide ribosomal RNA is filed under the name Cerophytum elateroides. RNAcentral's name for it is "eukaryotic LSU rRNA". It matches the Rfam family "Eukaryotic large subunit ribosomal RNA", at positions 670 to 1259 of the family's 3401-position model. The record is from RNAcentral. Lineage: Eukaryota; Metazoa; Arthropoda; Insecta; Coleoptera; Cerophytidae.